This 1539-nucleotide ribosomal RNA is filed under the name Clostridium sp. RNAcentral's name for it is "bacterial SSU rRNA". It matches the Rfam family "Bacterial small subunit ribosomal RNA". Lineage: Bacteria; Bacillati; Bacillota; Clostridia; Eubacteriales; Clostridiaceae. The record is from RNAcentral.
GAACAUGAGAGUUCGAUCCUGGCUCAGGACGAACGCUGGCGGCGUGCCUAACACAUGCAAGUCGGACGGGGCGGGGCAGAGAUGCGCCGCCCAGUGGCGGACGGGUGAGUAACGCGUGGACAACCUGCCCCGUGCAGGGGGACAACGCCCGGAAACGGGCGCUAAUACCGCAUGGGCGCGCGGGGCCGCAUGGCCCUGCGCGGAAAGGGGCGGCGCUGCCGCCCCGGCACGGGAGGGGUCCGCGUCUGAUCAGCCAGUUGGCGGGGCAGCGGCCCACCAAAGCGACGAUCAGUAGCCGGCCUGAGAGGGCGGACGGCCACACUGGGACUGAGACACGGCCCAGACUCCUACGGGAGGCAGCAGUGGGGGAUCUUGCACAAUGGGGGGAACCCUGAUGCAGCGACGCCGCGUGGGUGAAGGAGCGUUUCGGCGCGUAAAGCCCUAUCGGCAGGGAAGAAGAGGCCCGCAGGGGCCGGACGGUACCUGGCUAAGAAGCCCCGGCUAACUACGUGCCAGCAGCCGCGGUAAUACGUAGGGGGCAAGCGUUGUCCGGAUUGACUGGGCGUAAAGGGAGCGUAGACGGCCGCGCAAGUCCGGAGUGAAAGCCCGGGGCGCAGCCCCGGGACUGCUCUGGAAACUGCGGGGCUGGAGCGCCGGAGAGGCAGGCGGAAUUCCUGGUGUAGCGGUGAAAUGCGUAGAUAUCAGGAGGAACACCGGCGGCGAAGGCGGCCUGCUGGACGGCGGCUGACGUUGAGGCUCGAAAGCGUGGGGAGCGAACAGGAUUAGAUACCCUGGUAGUCCACGCAGUAAACGAUGAUUACCAGGCGCCGGGGCGCGCAGAGCGGCCCGGUGCCGCAGCCAACGCGCUAAGUAAUCCGCCUGGGGAGUACGUCCGCAAGGAUGAAACUCAAAGGAAUUGACGGGGACCCGCACAAGCGGUGGAGCAUGUGGUUUAAUCCGAAGCGACGCGAAGAACCUUACCCGCCCUUGACAUCCCCCUGACGGGCCCUCAGCGGGGCCCUCCCGGAAGGGCAGGGGAGACAGGUGGUGCAUGGUUGUCGUCAGCUCGUGUCGUGAGAUGUUGGGUCAAGUCCCGCAACGAGCGCAACCCCUGCCCACAGUAGCCAGCGGGAGAGCCGGGCACCCUGUGGGGACUGCCGGGGAGAACCCGGAGGAAGGCGGGGACGACGUCAAAUCAUCAUGCCCCUUAUGGGCGGGGCCACACACGUGCUACAAUGGCGCGGACAGAGGGAGGCGAGGCGGCGACGCGGAGCGGACCCCGGAAAAGGCGCCCCAGUUCGGACUGCAGCCUGCAACCCGGCUGCACGAAGCCGGAAUCGCUAGUAAUCGCGGAUCAGAACGCCGCGGUGAAUACGUUCCCGGGUCUUGUACACACCGCCCGUCACACCACGGGAGCCGGGGAUGCCCGAAGCCGGUGGCCCAACCGCGAGGAGGGAGCCGCCUAAGGCAGGCCCGGUGACUGGGGUGAAGUCGUAACAAGGUAGCCGUACCGGAAGGUGCGGCUGGAUCACCUCCUUU